GCCGGUGCAAAACACGUGGGGGGCGGGGCUGGCUUUUGGCCCGGUGAAUGGGCGUGACUAUGCAAACCGAGCCCGCGUUGGACGCUGGGUUGGGCUAGUGGGGCUUCCCUUAAGACCCCAACAGGAAGAAGUCUACUUUACUAUACCCCAGCAGGACAAAGGAUGAUUUUCUCCUCACCCAGCAAUAGCCCAGCCAAUAAGACACUGCCACAACUCACCCAAUGAGAAACUCACUACCUUGACUUUCCUCCAAUGGACUUUCAUUCAAGGCAGCCCCUCCCAACUUCCUCUCUUUUCUCUAGGAGUGCCUGGGAGUCAGAAAUUAUCUCACAGUGCCUGGGAGUGAUAUGUUUUAACUGGUCCUCUGCUCAAGGUCUCACGAAGCUGCAAUGGAGGUGUUGGCUGGACUAUAUCCUCAUCCCGAGGCUCAACUGGAGAAGGAUCCAUAUCCAAGCUUCUUGAGCCUGUUGGCAGAACUCAUUUCCUGGUGGUUGUAGGACUAUAGUCCCCAUUUCCUUUCUGUCAGCUGGGGGCCACUCUCAGGUGCUAGCCACAUGGCCUCCUCCAUCUCAGUAAGAGAAAGCCUCCCUCUAUUGAGACGGAGAAUUCUGAGUGUUAAAUGCUGAA
Neofelis nebulosa (Clouded leopard) is the source of this 627-nucleotide long non-coding RNA. RefSeq lists it as uncharacterized. The record is from RefSeq and is a predicted model, not a curated record. The transcript is spliced from 3 exons. Lineage: Eukaryota; Metazoa; Chordata; Mammalia; Carnivora; Felidae.